Molecule: long non-coding RNA, 766 nt
Filed under: Homo sapiens (human)
Lineage: Eukaryota; Metazoa; Chordata; Mammalia; Primates; Hominidae
Description: HSALNT0147863
Source: RNAcentral
GGGAAUACAUCUUGAUGGGGCAGCUGAGUUGUUAUGAAAUAUCAGGAACCCAACCCAGCUCUAGAACUCACCCCUGAGCACAAAGGCAAUGUUGGGCAUGCUGGUAAAGGACUACUAGAAUCCAGCAGCCCGGACCGCUUUCUCUGUGGUCAAGAAAGGCAGGAAAACAGGUGCAGGACGGCUACAUCGGUGAGCGUAACUAAUCCGAUAAGCAGAGGCCCAUGGGUGGUGAUGCACACUGGAAAGGAAUAAGCAUUAGGACCAAAGAGGAUGCUCUAGGACUAAUGCUCAUCAGAAAAUGAAUAGAUGUGCUGGCAUCCCUGUGUUCUUUUUUCAGAUGGGAAACAUUCCCCCCAAGGCGAAAACACCCCUAAGAUGUAUUCUGGAGAAUUCAGCCCGGAGUGUAUGUACCUUCUUCCCUCUCAGACUUGAAGCAAAAUAAAAUAGGACUAGGUACAGAAUGUUCCAGAACCAAGAAGGCAAAGGAUCAGAGGUACUUCAAACCUCUAAAAGAAAUGACCAAAAGGAGAGAACAUAGCAGCACAUGCACAUGGUGAAACAUAAGUAUUAAACAAUCGCUUAAGAAAAUAAAACAUCUCCAUUCCACCAUUCCCCACCACAAUACCUGCUUCUCACAGGCAACGACUUUUAUCAGUUUGGGUUUUUAACUCUUCUGGUACUUUCCCCAAAAUAAAACUUAGUUUCAGACAUUAUUUUCGUCCUAAAUAAAAAGUGAGUUAAAUUUUAUUACCUUGUUCCUCAUCAG